CUGUGCACCCCUAUGGAAAAUUUAUGUCCCUAAUUUGUUGAAGUGUUAUGGUAUACUAAUUGUUUAAAUGAUUAUACCAUUGAGACCCAUUUUCCAUAUAUACAAACAUGCUUUAUAGCUCAAAUACAGCCAGACUAUGGACCCUAUCACGCCAUGAGCAUAUUUGUUCUACAACAUCAUAGAAGUGUGCGUUUGUCUCACCUAAGAACAUACGGUGACAAAGAAACACAGUAGUAGCUUGCUCUUCUCCAUCCACCCAAUGCAGUAUGGACCACACUAGUAAAGCUAUGGAUUCUCUUUUCCUCUUCCAGUGAAAGCUUGUGACAGAGCUGCAGCUCAUCCUUUGGCAGGUUCACCUGCUUCACAAUAGCACCACUAUUAUAGAAGUUGACAAGCCUCCUACGUACUGAUGGGAUUGCUGUUGUGGAUGAGAUUGAGGGAGAAGAUGAAGAGAGAGAAAGAUAGAUUUUAGAUGGAGAUAGAGAUAGAAAUGGUCAUUUCAUGUGGCACAGUUGUGUUUUUGAUGCUGCCAUUGGUGCAGCAGAGGCCAGGAGAGGCUGACCUCUCCUCUCAGGCGUGCUGUAAAAAGGGGUGCAACGAACAAGUGGUCUUUACUGUGGCAUGUUUGGAUUGUGUGGUGUGUGUUCCCUAUCUUCCAACUGCUGCCUCUUCUCACUACCAUAUAUCCUUUUUCACCAUCCAGGAUUAAGUGGAAACUAUUAUUAUUCACUGCACGUGCCCUCCCUUCCCCCACCUGCUUACCAUGGUAGAAAUUAAUAAGAGUAAAAUUUUGUGGAAGGAUUCAUGUUCUUGUUAUACUAGAAUUAAAGUAUCAGGCUUCGUUUGGGACGGUUUUCUUACUGUUUCUUAAACCAGCUUUCAAGUAAUUUUUGUACUAAAAAACUGAUUUUAGAAGCAGUAAGAAAACAGUCCCAAACGAAACCUCAGUAGCAUUUUUAGUAGAUUUGGUUGCAAAAUAUUACAUGGUUGCCAUUGUGAAAACAUGUGAAGAAAACGUUGGGUUUCCACUUGUGCUAAUAAAAUAUAUAAAUAGAUGGUCCUCUA
Molecule: long non-coding RNA, 1065 nt
Organism: Dendrobium catenatum
Lineage: Eukaryota; Viridiplantae; Streptophyta; Magnoliopsida; Asparagales; Orchidaceae
Exons: 3
Source: RefSeq, a predicted model, not a curated record